Molecule: transfer RNA, 71 nt
Filed under: Gonodactylus sp. SIO BIC C12730
Lineage: Eukaryota; Metazoa; Arthropoda; Malacostraca; Stomatopoda; Gonodactylidae
Description: tRNA-Glu
Rfam family: tRNA
About the family: Transfer RNA (tRNA) molecules are approximately 80 nucleotides in length. Their secondary structure includes four short double-helical elements and three loops (D, anti-codon, and T loops).
Source: RNAcentral
GCUUUUGUAGUGUAAGUCUAAACACAUUACAUUUUCAAUGUAAAGAUAAGAAUCAAAUUCUUUUAAAGUAC